GCUAUCAACCACUCAGCCAUCUCUCC
Molecule: transfer RNA, 26 nt
Filed under: Androsace adfinis subsp. adfinis
Lineage: Eukaryota; Viridiplantae; Streptophyta; Magnoliopsida; Ericales; Primulaceae
Also listed under: 4 other names
Description: partial tRNA-Ser
Source: RNAcentral